Molecule: long non-coding RNA, 549 nt
Filed under: Helianthus annuus (common sunflower)
Lineage: Eukaryota; Viridiplantae; Streptophyta; Magnoliopsida; Asterales; Asteraceae
Description: sRNA HanXRQr2_Chr06g0256111
Source: RNAcentral
AUGUUGAUGUAUGAUGUUGAAGUAAGACAUGAAAUACUUGUACAUGAUGCUUAGAUGGUGGUAUGCACACCAAGUGUUUGAUGAAAUGGAUAUGUGGAAUUAAUAGAUGAAAUUGUAUGCAAGUGAUGGAUGAAAAUGCAUAGAACGCGGAUAUGACGUUGUGAUAGUAAACUAAGCGUGAUAAAUAUGUUUUAGAUGGAAUAUAUGUGUGAAAUUUAGUUGAUGGGAUGAUUUGGUAAGAAGCACACAUUAAGGGCUUGUACUAUAUGCUUGAAAGGUAUGAUAUAUAUUAACUGAAGCAUGGAAUGCUAGCGGGUUAAGAGGAUUCAAGGAAGCGAACGCGAAUACGGACGCUUAAGGACGUUCAAACGAGUGUCACAUUUUGUAAAAGAAUGAAAUUCGGGAGCCGGUGCUAUAGACGAAGUCGCCGACGACCAUAAUCCAAGUCGCCAACGUCGGGAAAAUAAGUCGCCAAUGCCGAACACAAUCACGAGAAGGAUUCAACACUUGAAUCAAUCAUAUGUGUUAAAGUGUAAUACAUAUGUCUUA